Molecule: ribosomal RNA, 903 nt
Filed under: Triticum aestivum (bread wheat)
Lineage: Eukaryota; Viridiplantae; Streptophyta; Magnoliopsida; Poales; Poaceae
Description: partial small subunit ribosomal RNA
Source: RNAcentral
AUGGGCAGCUCGCUCGGGUCCGGCGACAUGAUGAAGAUCGGCAUGGGCAGCUCGCUCGGGUCUGGCGACACCAUGAAUGUCGGGCCAGCGAACAAUGAUGCCUCCGGCUCCCAGUCCACCUCCAUCUUAGCCAGAGGCUUCGGCUUCUUCUUGGGCAGGUCGAUCAACGGAGCAAGGCCAGCGAAGGGUAAUGCCUCCACCACGGUCGGCGGCAUCGCCUUCUUCUCGGACCGGUCAACCGACGCCGCAGGACCAGCGAAGAGUGACGCCUCCGAGUCUGUCACCAUCUCAGUCGUAGGCUCUGCCUUCUUCUCCGACCGGUCGAUCGACGGAGCAGGGCCAUCGAAGGAUGUCACCACCGAGUAUGCCACCAUCUCAGUCACAGGCUUUGUCUUCUUCUCGAACCGGUCGACCGACGGCGCGGGGCCAGCGUGGAGUGAUGCCUCCGAGGCUGCCACCAUCUCAGCCGGAGGCCUCGGCUUCUUGUCGCACCGGUCGACGGAUGGCGCACGGCUCGCCGGCCUCUUCCAGUUCUCCCUCGGCAUCUCCCCGCGGCCGAGGCGCUCGACGCCGCCGUUCACAGUCUCGGUACGGCGGAGCGUCUUGUCAGUGGCCCAGCUGGAGCUCCGUGAAGCGCGUCCAGGAAGGUCGGCCUUGUCUCUGAUCCAGCUUCGGCUCAUCGAGGCACGUCCAGGCUGCUGCUUCUUGCUGUCCAGCUCCACACGAGCCGUGUACACCGCCGGAGGAGGCAUCAGGAGGUGGCAGCGCGCCGGGGUAGGCAGCAGCGGUGGCAGAGUCGCGGCGACAUGGCUAGCCAUCUCUGCAAACAACGAACACAACAAAGAACAGAGAGACCAAGUGAUUGCACAAGCGAAACAAGUAAUAGAACAAUUGCGAUGCUAA